Molecule: long non-coding RNA, 1046 nt
Organism: Xiphophorus couchianus (Monterrey platyfish)
Lineage: Eukaryota; Metazoa; Chordata; Actinopteri; Cyprinodontiformes; Poeciliidae
Exons: 2
Source: RefSeq, a predicted model, not a curated record
AUAGACUUUAUUUCCGGUUUGGUUAGUAGCUUGUAGAUAAGUUGAUAUUCAUACCAAGCAAAAAGAACAAAGACAUUCAGUUUUAAAUACAUUUCUAAUACUGAGAAAGAUACAUAAAUCUCCUUUGAACAUGCUAUGCAGAUGACUCAAUAAAAAAGGACAGAUUCACUUCUUCCAAAAUGUCUUUCUCAGCAUCAGACUGAAAGAUUGAUUUCCAAACUUUUAACGCAUUUUAGCAUUGCUCCACCAGCCUCGACAGUUGAACCUCCGUCACGUCACAUGCCACCACAGUGCUGUUGCUCCAGUGUGAAGCGCUGGCAGCCGUGACAAGAGUCUCAACACUACACCGACUGCCCUCGCGGAACCUAAUCUCUGCCGCCUUUGUCACUAGACAGUGUCAUGUUCAGCCAGGGCCAGGCGUGUUUCCUCCGCGCGAGUCGGCCACGGCGAUGUGACAGAGAGACGGAAGGAAGGGUGUGAGGCUGAACCUGAACACCUAGAGACGGGCCGGCUGGGGGGAUUGUGACGCCUUCUGGAGUCUCAUGACGACUGGUUCAAAGGAACCCGUUCUCGAACCGCUUUACCGGCAGAAGCUUUGAACCUGUAGCUGAAUUGGCUUCCUCAUCCAGCGAAAGGUGGUCAACGGUUGCUUGCUGGCGAUGAGCCUCAAAGUUGAGUCAGCUCCUCGGUCGGCACCUCUACGUUUCCGAUGUGCCACAAAAUCCAAAACGCCAGGCUGAGGAACAAGAUUAGCGGCCCAGAAAGGACAAGAAAGUCCCAGUAGCCGACGGGCGAGGCGAUCCCAGUGAUGAAGACGAUGAGGCCGAUCACAUCAAGGAGGACAGCAACGAAGAAAAACCCUACGCAGCGGCCGAUCCGACAGCGGCAACUUGUGAAAGUUAGUUUUAUUCUUUCCAUGCUUCGCACGGCACCUCACGAGGAGUGAGCGGCGUGACAGAUGACACGGAAAGAGCUUAAACAUUCAGGUCACAUUCCUUCUAUCUCUACAUCUUCAUUUUUUUUUUUUAAACCACCCGCUGGCACCA